RNAcentral lists this ribosomal RNA (468 nucleotides) under uncultured bacterium. Its description in RNAcentral is "partial 16S ribosomal RNA". It matches the Rfam family "Bacterial small subunit ribosomal RNA", at positions 28 to 507 of the family's 1533-position model. The record is from RNAcentral.
GACGAACGCUGGCGGCGUGCUUAACACAUGCAAGUCGAACGGAAAGGCCCUGCUUUUGUGGGGUGCUCGAGUGGCGAACGGGUGAGUAACACGUGAGUAACCUGCCCUUGACUUUGGGAUAACUUCAGGAAACUGGGGCUAAUACCGGAUAGGAGCUCCUGCUGCAUGGUGGGGGUUGGAAAGUUUCGGCGGUUGGGGAUGGACUCGCGGCUUAUCAGCUUGUUGGUGGGGUAGUGGCUUACCAAGGCUUUGACGGGUAGCCGGCCUGAGAGGGUGACCGGCCACAUUGGGACUGAGAUACGGCCCAGACUCCUACGGGAGGCAGCAGUGGGGAAUACUGCACGAUGGGCGGAAGCCUGAUGCAGCAACGCCGCGUGCGGGAUGACGGCCUUCGGGUUGUAAGCCGCUUUCGCCUGUGACGAAGCGUGAGUGACGGUAAUGGGUAAAGAAGCACCGGCUAACUACGUG